RNAcentral lists this ribosomal RNA (371 nucleotides) under uncultured organism. Its description in RNAcentral is "bacterial SSU rRNA". It matches the Rfam family "Bacterial small subunit ribosomal RNA", at positions 526 to 896 of the family's 1533-position model. The record is from RNAcentral.
CAGAGGGUGCGAGCGUUAAUCGGAAUUACUGGGCGUAAAGCGCACGUAGUCGGCUUGCCAAGUCGGGUGUGAAAUCCCCGGGCUCAACCUGGGAACUGCAUCCGAAACUGGCUUGCUAGAGUAUGGGAGAGGGAGGCGGAAUUUCUGGUGUAGCAGUGAAAUGCGUAGAUAUCAGAAGGAACAUCAGUGGCGAAGGCGGCCUCCUGGACCAAUACUGACGAUCAGGUGCGAAAGCGUGGGGAGCAAACAGGAUUAGAUACCCUGGUAGUCCACGCCCUAAACGAUGACAACUGGAUGUCGGGAGGGUUUGCCUUCCGGUGUCGUAGCUAACGCGUUAAGUUGUCCGCCUGGGAAGUACGGCCGCAAGGUUG